Molecule: transfer RNA, 93 nt
Filed under: Virgibacillus phasianinus
Lineage: Bacteria; Bacillati; Bacillota; Bacilli; Caryophanales; Bacillaceae
Also listed under: 1 other name
Description: tRNA-Ser
Rfam family: tRNA
About the family: Transfer RNA (tRNA) molecules are approximately 80 nucleotides in length.
Source: RNAcentral
GGAGGUAUACCCAAGUCUGGCUGAAGGGACCGGUCUUGAAAACCGACAGGCGGGUCAAACCGCGCGGGGGUUCGAAUCCCUCUACCUCCUCCA